This 495-nucleotide ribosomal RNA is filed under the name uncultured bacterium. RNAcentral describes it as "partial 16S ribosomal RNA". It matches the Rfam family "Bacterial small subunit ribosomal RNA", at positions 28 to 507 of the family's 1533-position model. The record is from RNAcentral.
GAUGAACGCUGGCGGCGUGCCUAAUACAUGCAAGUAGAACGCUGAAGGAGGAGCUUGCUCUUCUGGAUGAGUUGCGAACGGGUGAGUAACGCGUAGGUAACCUGCCUGGUAGCGGGGGAUAACUAUUGGAAACGAUAGCUAAUACCGCAUGACAACAGUUAUUGCAUGAUAACUGUUUAAAAGGGGCAACUGCUUCACUACCAGAUGGACCUGCGUUGUAUUAGCUAGUUGGUGAGGUAACGGCUCACCAAGGCGACGAUACAUAGCCGACCUGAGAGGGUGAUCGGCCACACUGGGACUGAGACACGGCCCAGACUCCUACGGGAGGCAGCAGUAGGGAAUCUUCGGCAAUGGACGGAAGUCUGACCGAGCAACGCCGCGUGAGUGAAGAAGGUUUUCGGAUCGUAAAGCUCUGUUGUAAGAGAAGAACGAGUGUGAGAGUGGAAAGUUCACACUGUGACGGUAUCUUACCAGAAAGGGACGGCUAACUACGUG